GAUGAACGCUGGCGGCGUGCUUAACACAUGCAAGUCGAACGAGAAAUGGAGACGGAAACCUUCGGGCGGAAGGCUUCAUUUCGAGUGGCGGACGGGUGAGUAACGCGUGGGUAACCUGCCUCAUACAGGGGGAUAACAGUUGGAAACGACUGUUAAUACCGCAUAAGACCACAGCACCGCAUGGUGCGGGGGUAAAAACUCCGGUGGUAUGAGAUGGACCCGCGUUCGAUUAGCCAGUUGGCGGGGUAACGGCCCACCAAAGCGACGAUCGAUAGCCGAUCUGAGAGGAUGACCGGCCACAUUGGGACUGAGACACGGCCCAAACUCCUACGGGAGGCAGCAGUGGGGUAUAUUGCACAAUGGGGGAAACCCUGAUGCAGCGACGCCGCGUGAGUGAAGAAGUACUUCGGUAUGUAAAGCUCUAUCAGCAGGGAAGAAAAUGACGGUACCUGAGUAAGAAGCCCCGGCUAACUACGUG
This 478-nucleotide ribosomal RNA is filed under the name uncultured bacterium. RNAcentral's name for it is "partial 16S ribosomal RNA". It matches the Rfam family "Bacterial small subunit ribosomal RNA", at positions 28 to 507 of the family's 1533-position model. The record is from RNAcentral.